RNAcentral lists this ribosomal RNA (784 nucleotides) under Cytobacillus firmus. Its description in RNAcentral is "bacterial SSU rRNA". It matches the Rfam family "Bacterial small subunit ribosomal RNA", at positions 92 to 860 of the family's 1533-position model. The record is from RNAcentral. Lineage: Bacteria; Bacillati; Bacillota; Bacilli; Caryophanales; Bacillaceae.
UCAGCGGCGGACGGGUGAGUAACACGUGGGCAACCUGCCUGUAAGACUGGGAUAACUCCGGGAAACCGGGGCUAAUACCGGAUAACUCUUUUCCUCACAUGAGGAAAAGCUGAAAGAUGGUUUCGGCUAUCACUUACAGAUGGGCCCGCGGCGCAUUAGCUAGUUGGUGAGGUAACGGCUCACCAAGGCCACGAUGCGUAGCCGACCUGAGAGGGUGAUCGGCCACACUGGGACUGAGACACGGCCCAGACUCCUACGGGAGGCAGCAGUAGGGAAUCUUCCGCAAUGGACGAAAGUCUGACGGAGCAACGCCGCGUGAGUGAUGAAGGUUUUCGGAUCGUAAAACUCUGUUGUCAGGGAAGAACAAGUACCGGAGUAACUGCCGGUACCUUGACGGUACCUGACCAGAAAGCCACGGCUAACUACGUGCCAGCAGCCGCGGUAAUACGUAGGUGGCAAGCGUUGUCCGGAAUUAUUGGGCGUAAAGCGCGCGCAGGCGGUUCCUUAAGUCUGAUGUGAAAGCCCCCGGCUCAACCGGGGAGGGUCAUUGGAAACUGGGGAACUUGAGUGCAGAAGAGAAGAGUGGAAUUCCACGUGUAGCGGUGAAAUGCGUAGAGAUGUGGAGGAACACCAGUGGCGAAGGCGACUCUUUGGUCUGUAACUGACGCUGAGGCGCGAAAGCGUGGGGGAGCAAACAGGAUUAGAUACCCUGGUAGUCCACGCCGUAACGAUGAGUGCUAAGUGUUAGAGGGUUUCCGCCCUUUAGUUGCUGCAGCAAACGCAU